Molecule: ribosomal RNA, 901 nt
Filed under: uncultured bacterium
Lineage: Bacteria
Description: bacterial SSU rRNA
Rfam family: Bacterial small subunit ribosomal RNA
Source: RNAcentral
UAGAGUUUGAUCCUGGCUCAGGAUGAACGCUAGCUACAGGCUUAACACAUGCAAGUCGAGGGGAAACGACAUCGAAAGCUUGCUUUUGAUGGGCGUCGACCGGCGCACGGGUGAGUAACGCGUAUCCAACCUGCCCACCACUUGGGGAUAACCUUGCGAAAGUAAGACUAAUACCCAAUGAUAUCUCUAGAAGACAUCUGAAGGAGAUUAAAGAUUUAUCGGUGAUGGAUGGGGAUGCGUCUGAUUAGCUUGUUGGCGGGGUAACGGCCCACCAAGGCGACGAUCAGUAGGGGUUCUGAGAGGAAGGUCCCCCACAUUGGAACUGAGACACGGUCCAAACUCCUACGGGAGGCAGCAGUGAGGAAUAUUGGUCAAUGGGCGAGAGCCUGAACCAGCCAAGUAGCGUGCAGGAUGACGGCCCUAUGGGUUGUAAACUGCUUUUAUAAGGGAAUAAAGUGAGUCUCGUGAGACUUUUUGCAUGUACCUUAUGAAUAAGGACCGGCUAAUUCCGUGCCAGCAGCCGCGGUAAUACGGAAGGUCCGGGCGUUAUCCGGAUUUAUUGGGUUUAAAGGGAGCGUAGGCCGGAGAUUAAGCGUGUUGUGAAAUGUAGACGCUCAACGUCUGCACUGCAGCGCGAACUGGUUUCCUUGAGUACGCACAAAGUGGGCGGAAUUCGUGGUGUAGCGGUGAAAUGCUUAGAUAUCACGAAGAACUCCGAUUGCGAAGGCAGCUCACUGGAGCGCAACUGACGCUGAAGCUCGAAAGUGCGGGUAUCGAACAGGAUUAGAUACCCUGGUAGUCCGCACGGUAAACGAUGGAUGCCCGCUGUUGGUCUGAAUAGGUCAGCGGCCAAGCGAAAGCAUUAAGCAUCCCACCUGGGGAGUACGCCGGCAACGGUGAA